GAAUACCUUGGGUGGAGAGGUCGAGAGAACUCAGGGAUUAAGGGAGCUUGGAGUGCUGGAUGUGGUGAGCAGGCCCCACCUACAGGGAAUGGGGAAGCCUAAAGCAUCCGCCAGGGCACCCACUUAAAAUAUAGCCUCGAGACGACCCUAUCUGAACCCCAAGGUAUUAC
RNAcentral lists this non-coding RNA (170 nucleotides) under Nitrospira sp. RNAcentral describes it as "6S RNA". It matches the Rfam family "6S / SsrS RNA". Rfam says of the family: E. coli 6S RNA was the first non coding RNA to be sequenced, but its function was unknown until recently. Lineage: Bacteria; Pseudomonadati; Nitrospirota; Nitrospiria; Nitrospirales; Nitrospiraceae. The record is from RNAcentral.